UGAGGCAAGACAUCGAGCACAGUAUAAAUAGGGAGGAAGAAAUGAAGUAUGCGAUGGGAGCAUUACAGUGGCAGUUGUCAGAUUCGCAGGAUGCUCAGCGUGCAUCACAAACUGAAAUUCACAAGGUACUCGAUGAAUACCAGUCUUUAUUGAGGACAAGUGACAGCUUGAGGGAGAAAAAAGAAGCAUUAGAAGAGGAAAACAGUGUUGUCAUCGCAGAGGCCAUGACGCUGGAGCACCUAUAUUUGUUGUUCAGGAGUUUCGGUACCGAGAGAGCG
This 278-nucleotide unclassified non-coding RNA is filed under the name Hevea brasiliensis (rubber tree). Lineage: Eukaryota; Viridiplantae; Streptophyta; Magnoliopsida; Malpighiales; Euphorbiaceae. The record is from RNAcentral.